Molecule: long non-coding RNA, 963 nt
Organism: Caretta caretta (loggerhead turtle)
Lineage: Eukaryota; Metazoa; Chordata; Testudines; Cheloniidae
Source: RefSeq, a predicted model, not a curated record
AGUUACUCCCCGUUUUCACCAGUGUAGGGGAAGUCAGAGACUGCUCUGAUGUGUUUCAGAUUAUGCCUUGCCUUUAUAAGAAAAAUGAUUUCACAGCUCAAGAUCUGAGCCUGUGCUGCACAAGGAGAGACACAUCACUUCAAAGAACUCCAGCUGAUACAAAGCCUGAAAAUUUCGAAGGCAUUACUCCUUUGAAGUCCUGCAAGACAUGAACCAGAAAGCAAUGAACUGUGAACAACUGAGAAUAAUGGAGAGUUCCGCUUCAAAACUGAGAGCAGGUAAACUCAAACUGAUACACACAGAUGGACCUUUGAUUCUCUGCAGUGCCCCUUGGUACUCCACGGACUAGGCCCAAGCAUAAGGAUCUACUGAUGUGGCUGAGGUUGCAGAAUCAGGGCCUGAAUAUUUUUUGCAUGUGGCUGCCCAGCUGAAGAAAGUACAAGCUAUCGUAGCGAAUCUGUAUAAUGUAUAUUUAUUAAAACAUUGAACACAACAAACACUGGCAAUGAAAAUUACAUGCUCUUUAUAAACAUUUUUAUUUUAAACUAGAUUUUGUGUGGUGCUGCUGCAGGAGCAGCAGCUACAACAUAAUCAGCCUGGUAAUAAGAGAAGAAAGUCAUUUCUUACAAUGAUCCGAGAGCCCUUUGUUAAUGUCAAGGAUAAUUUGGGCUGACUGAUUUGAUUGCUGCUCUUUUACUGCAAGAGAUCUCAAUAAAUGAAACUGCUUGCAUGGAUAAUUUAGGCUUAUAUGGUUGCUAGCAAGCUAAUGAUGCAAACACAGCUGAAAUAAAAUUUUCAUUUUGUACUGAUGGUUUAAAAACACACACACACACACACACACAGACACACACCCACACACAUAUCAAAAACAGGAAAAAAAAAGCACUUAAACACCUGCCAUAUGGACUACGUCAGAACAGUGAAUGGUAAUCUGCUGCUCUCUGAGUGGAAAGUGGUUUAUGU